RNAcentral lists this long non-coding RNA (263 nucleotides) under Musa acuminata (dwarf banana). Its description in RNAcentral is "long non-coding RNA (MACU_LNC002193)". Lineage: Eukaryota; Viridiplantae; Streptophyta; Magnoliopsida; Zingiberales; Musaceae. The record is from RNAcentral.
CCUGAUCUUUACCUUCUUAGUGCCUGAAUCGAAGGGCAAGUCACUCGAGGAAAUCUCUGGCGAGAACGAAGACGAGGACCAGAUAGACUCCGCCGCUGUUUACAACAGGACGGUCCCUGUUUAGGAUUAGCUUCCGUCAUACUCUAUCCUCUCAUAGGUUGGUAAUGUAAUAUUAAUGGAUACCUAAUUAGCCGAACAGUAGUCGUUACCUCUUCUCGGUGUAAUAAGAUAUGAAACCAUAGGUGGAUGUAUGAAGUGCACUU